This 910-nucleotide long non-coding RNA is filed under the name Heterocephalus glaber (naked mole-rat). RNAcentral describes it as "lncRNA (ENSHGLG00100050054.1)". The record is from RNAcentral. Lineage: Eukaryota; Metazoa; Chordata; Mammalia; Rodentia; Bathyergidae.
CACCUGCCCUGAGAGCCCUGCCCAGCUCGGCUGGUGAAGACCCCCCACCCCCUGCCACCCUCUCCUGUGGGCUCCUCAAAGCCACCCCCUCUGGAUCUAAUAGCAGCACCACUCGGAGAGCAUGCCCUUCGCUCCAGGGGCUUCAGAGCAUUUCUUUCCGCACAAACCUAACUAGACCUCCAGUGACACCAGCUUGGGUCAAGCCACUACCUUUGCUCCAGGUCGGAGCCUUGUGAUUGCCACCCACCUCUCACUGCCAUGUGAAUGGGCCGCUCAAAGGUGGCAGGUCCCUGACAUAUGUGGCCAUGGUGCUCCAUGGUGCAGUUGUAGGAGGACCUGUGACCCUGCCACCUGCCUCCCACUCCUCCCUUUAUGUACCUGAGCUGCCUGUGCCAGCCUAGAAUGCCACUCGCCCCCAUGCCUAGCAUGGCUCCCGGCACAGACAGGACACCUGCAGAUGAGUGCUGAAUGAAGAGACCUCCGAGGAUGCUUGGUGACAUGGGGCUUUGGAGCCUGGUCUGGCACUUGGCUCUUUGGUGCUCCCUGCCCCAGGAGAGGACGUGACCGUGUGAAGUAGCAGGAAGUAGAAGGGGCCUCUGCUUGACUUUUAUAGGAAACAGCUUUGGAAUUAGGGGAAACUAUAAAGGCAACAGAUAUAGAAAAACACCCUGGGAGAGUAAAAACAGUCCCACCCCAUUGACUAGCAAAGUCCUCUCUGCAUGGAAGGAAGCCGGGCUGUGUGAGGGCCAUGGCUCCUCAUGGGGCUGGAUCCAGGGGUGGGGUGGGGGGACACGCACCUUCUCUUCUAAGGAGGCAGCAAGGCCCAGAGAGGGGAAAGGUUUGUGUGUUGUGACAGGGUCACAAGUCUCAGACAUCCUCAUUGUGGCCUUUCUGCCCCAUCAGACUGUGG